GGGAAGCCGAGCUCCCGCGGAGAGGCUGCCAGCCCAGGGCUGCUGCUCAAUUUCACACAGCAGUUUGGCCAGCAGCCUGCUUGCCGCCUCGCAUCUGCUCACAGGGGUCCGGGUGCCCACAGAGCAUCCACUGAGCUAACCUCUCGCUUCUGUAUGGGAAAUCUGCAAGAAACUAUUCAUUACAGCUACCCACACACACCACACCCUGCUUCUUUACAGACACCUAUCCAUUAACAAAAAUAACAAUAAAAAAGCCCCCUAGGGAAAUGUACUUCUGAGAACCUGUUUUGCUAACACGCUGUCACUGUGAGACAUACAUAAUUAACAAAAGCUAUGCCGUGGCAGGUUUUUUUUACUAUUACACGUUCGUUCAGAGGCAGCAUCUUAUUUAUGAAAGCAGGUACUUAGUAAAACAUUAAUUGUGAAGUUGAGGAUUGCAGGCUACUGCCCUUUUCCUAGGCAGCUGACAGUAUGUGCCCUGGCAAUCCCUUUUACAACCCUCUCACACUGCUUUUGGAACAGCAUAAUCAGCAGAGAGAUGAAGUUUUAACACAGCUGGGGCAUGUCUGGCGUUUUUUCUUUUUUUUUUUUUGUUUUUAUAAGACACAACACAGUCUCUUAGAGUUUCCAGCUACUAAGCUACAUCAAUCAUCAACAGAAAAGAGAGGGAAAAAAAAGCGUGAAGCAAAGUAUUUUCAAACUCCAAAUGUAAUGGCUCUUCAUUGUGGUGAACACCAGCACCUAAAGAAUCUUCAAACAUUUCUCCAAAGACUGCAAAACAAUCCCCUGCCACGCUUUGCUGGGUCUGUGUGUGCGAGCGUUUCCAGGACAGCUCCGCAACCCUUCCACCAAACAAUGAUGGAAAGUUCAAGUGAACUCUUAAUAAAGUCUGGUUACUUUGCAGCUUUGGGAAACUGCCAAGAUACACACUGGAAGGACUGAGUGAAAAUAAACUAGCACAAAGA
Long non-coding RNA from Serinus canaria (Common canary), 965 nucleotides. RefSeq lists it as uncharacterized. The record is from RefSeq and is a predicted model, not a curated record. The transcript has 2 exons. NCBI's taxonomy places the organism in Eukaryota, Metazoa, Chordata, Aves, Passeriformes, Fringillidae.